RNAcentral lists this ribosomal RNA (464 nucleotides) under uncultured bacterium. Its description in RNAcentral is "partial 16S ribosomal RNA". It matches the Rfam family "Bacterial small subunit ribosomal RNA", at positions 30 to 505 of the family's 1533-position model. The record is from RNAcentral.
CGACCGCUGGCGGCGUGCUUAACACAUGCAAGUCGACCGGAAAGGCCCUGCUUUUGUGGGGUGCUCGAGUGGCGAACGGGUGAGUAACACGUGAGUAACCUGCCCUUGACUUUGGGAUAACUUCAGGAAACUGGGGCUAAUACCGGAUAGGAGCUCCUGCUGCAUGGUGGGGGUUGGAAAGUUUCGGCGGUUGGGGAUGGACUCGCGGCUUAUCAGCUUGUUGGUGGGGUAGUGGCUUACCAAGGCUUUGACGGGUAGCCGGCCUGAGAGGGUGACCGGCCACAUUGGGACUGAGAUACGGCCCAGACUCCUACGGGAGGCAGCAGUGGGGAAUAUUGCACAAUGGGCGGAAGCCUGAUGCAGCAACGCCGCGUGCGGGAUGACGGCCUUCGGGUUGUAAACCGCUUUCGCCUGUGACGAAGCGUGAGUGACGGUAAUGGGUAAAGAAGCACCGGCUAACUACG